GCACAAGCUAUGUCUGUAACUGAAAGAUCUUGAUAAACACAAAACGCAUAGCCCUUCGAGUUGCCUGUUUCUCUGUCUUUGACUAGAUCCAAAACCUCGAAGAGGCCCAAAGGAUUCCAACAACUCUCUGAUUUGAGCUUCUGUAAAGUAAUAGGGAAGACCACCAACAAAGAUGCGGUCAGGACCCUCAAGCCCACCAGCAGAUCCUG
RNAcentral lists this unclassified non-coding RNA (209 nucleotides) under Hevea brasiliensis (rubber tree). The record is from RNAcentral. Lineage: Eukaryota; Viridiplantae; Streptophyta; Magnoliopsida; Malpighiales; Euphorbiaceae.